CCUACGGGGGGCAGCAGUGAGGAAUAUUGGUCAAUGGGCGAGAGCCUGAACCAGCCAAGUCGCGUGAGGGAGUACUGCCCUAUGGGUUGUAAACCUCUUUUGUCGGGGAACAAAGGCGGGGACUAGUCCCCGGAUGAGGGUACCUGAAGAAAAAGCAUCGGCUAACUCCGUGCCAGCAGCCGCGGUAAUACGGAGGAUGCGAGCGUUAUCCGGAUUUAUUGGGUUUAAAGGGUGCGCAGGCGGCCUGUUAAGUCAGCGGUAAAAGCCCGGGGCUCAACCCCGGCGAGCCGUUGACACUGGCGGGCUGGAGUUGGAGAGAAGUACGCGGAAUGCGCGGUGUAGCGGUGAAAUGCUUAGAUAUCGCGCAGAACCCCGAUUGCGAAGGCAGCGUACCGGCUCCACACUGACGCUGAGGCACGAAAGCGUGGGUAUCGAACAGGAUUAGAUACCCUUGUAGUC
This 459-nucleotide ribosomal RNA is filed under the name uncultured bacterium. RNAcentral describes it as "partial 16S ribosomal RNA". It matches the Rfam family "Bacterial small subunit ribosomal RNA", at positions 338 to 795 of the family's 1533-position model. The record is from RNAcentral.